This 495-nucleotide ribosomal RNA is filed under the name Bacillus sp. M12-C14. RNAcentral's name for it is "bacterial SSU rRNA". It matches the Rfam family "Bacterial small subunit ribosomal RNA", at positions 1 to 483 of the family's 1533-position model. Lineage: Bacteria; Bacillati; Bacillota; Bacilli; Caryophanales; Bacillaceae. The record is from RNAcentral.
UGAGCUUGAUCCUGGCUCAGGACGAACGCUGGCGGCGUGCCUAAUACAUGCAAGUCGAGCGAAUCUGAUAAAAGCUUGCUUUUUGAAGAUUAGCGGCGGACGGGUGAGUAACACGUGGGCAACCUGCCUGUAAGACUGGGAUAACUUCGGGAAACCGGAGCUAAUACCGGAUAAUAUAAAGAACCUCCUGGUUCUUUAUUGAAAGAUGGUUUCGGCUAUCACUUACAGAUGGGCCCGCGGCGCAUUAGCUAGUUGGUGAGGUAACGGCUCACCAAGGCGACGAUGCGUAGCCGACCUGAGAGGGUGAUCGGCCACACUGGGACUGAGACACGGCCCAGACUCCUACGGGAGGCAGCAGUAGGGAAUCUUCCACAAUGGACGAAAGUCUGAUGGAGCAACGCCGCGUGAGCGAUGAAGGCCUUCGGGUCGUAAAGCUCUGUUGUUAGGGAAGAACAAGUACCGGAGUAACUGCCGGUACCUUGACCGGUCCCUACC